This 311-nucleotide ribosomal RNA is filed under the name Cryptococcus sp. 10y/00. RNAcentral describes it as "eukaryotic LSU rRNA". It matches the Rfam family "Eukaryotic large subunit ribosomal RNA", at positions 334 to 640 of the family's 3401-position model. The record is from RNAcentral. Lineage: Eukaryota; Fungi; Basidiomycota; Tremellomycetes; Tremellales; Cryptococcaceae.
CCGAUAGCGAACAAGUACCGUGAGGGAAAGAUGAAAAGCACUUUGGAAAGAGAGUUAAACAGCACGUGAAAUUGUUAAAAGGGAAACGAUUGAAGUCAGUCGUGUGAAAGGUAUUCAGCCGUCUCUGGCGGUGUAUUUGCCUUUCACGGGUCAACAUCAGUUUGAUCCGGUAGAAAAAGGCGGGAGGAAGGUGGCACCCUCGGGUGUGUUAUAGCCUCCUGUCAUAUGUGCCGGACCAGACUGAGGAACGCAGCUUGCCGCAAGGCCGGGGUUCGCCCACGUACAAGCUUAGGAUGUUGACAUAAUGGCUU